This 94-nucleotide signal recognition particle RNA is filed under the name Candidatus Stackebrandtia faecavium. Its description in RNAcentral is "signal recognition particle sRNA small type". It matches the Rfam family "Bacterial small signal recognition particle RNA". From Rfam's summary of the family: The signal recognition particle (SRP) is a universally conserved ribonucleoprotein involved in the co-translational targeting of proteins to membranes. Archaeal SRP consists of a 7S RNA and homologues of the eukaryotic SRP19 and SRP54 proteins. In most bacteria, the SRP consists of a 4.5S RNA and the Ffh protein (a homologue of the eukaryotic SRP54 protein). Lineage: Bacteria; Bacillati; Actinomycetota; Actinomycetes; Glycomycetales; Glycomycetaceae. The record is from RNAcentral.
GGCGUCUCUCACGCGACGUUACCUCGUGAACCUCCCCAGGGCCGGAAGGCAGCAAGGAUAAGCGGGCUCUGGCGGGUGCGUGAGAGGCCCUGAA